UCAAGGGAAUUAUAGCUGCUCUUGAAUAGAUUUUGAUUGUUAACCUCUGGAUACACUCCUAGGUUUUGUUUGGCUUUGAAACAAGCAGAAAUAAACAGCGCACACCCACCCCAAAACUCUCCAUUGCUUUGGUGUAGCCAGUUAGGCUGGAAGGAGCCCAAGAAAACAGUCCACAUUUACAACAUCUGCAGCUUCAGUCUGCAACAGUGUACAGUAACAGAAUAAUGCACAGACUGCACAGACGAUCU
This 248-nucleotide long non-coding RNA is filed under the name Coturnix japonica (Japanese quail). RNAcentral's name for it is "lncRNA (ENSCJPG00005018238.1)". Lineage: Eukaryota; Metazoa; Chordata; Aves; Galliformes; Phasianidae. The record is from RNAcentral.